GUUGGUUCAAUGGUGUACAAAGAUGCUCAGAAUACAAGAAAAAUGGAGUUAAAAUAAUCAAUUCAAAUGUGCUAUUUUCUUAAUUCCCAACAUUUCAUGAGGACUGCUUUGUGUGUUGCCGGUCGACCUGGAUUACACUGAAAGAGGAAGCAGCGGCGCUGGGCCAUGGCUGGCAAGAGGAGAAUUCAGCAGGGUAGCUGGUGACAUCUGAGAGUGGGGAACCAAAACUGGCACCAAAAGAGAUAUCUGCAGCCAGAAAUGAGCAGCAGGUCAACUUUAUUUUUAUCUUAACCAGACAGACUCUACAUGCCAUAAUGAACAGCAACAAGCGAGCUCAUAGCCAUGAACACAGGCUCAGUUAGGACGGAGAGGUCUUCACUUCUUUUCAUUCCAUGCUGUAUCAAUGUCCAUUGCAGAGCAGCAGAAGGAACCUUUAAAAUGAAGAUCAUGCUGUGCCUGGUAGGAUGCACCUGUGAUUCGAGCACUCCUGCAGGCUAAGGCAGGAAGAUCUCAAGUGCAAGCAUGGGCAAUUUAGCCAAUUGUGAGAUGAAUUCAGUGAAUGACAUGGACUAUGGAGAAAAUAAAAAGGAAUGGGACCCAAAAUGCCAUUAAAUAG
Molecule: long non-coding RNA, 616 nt
Filed under: Heterocephalus glaber (naked mole-rat)
Lineage: Eukaryota; Metazoa; Chordata; Mammalia; Rodentia; Bathyergidae
Description: lncRNA (ENSHGLG00000045470.1)
Source: RNAcentral